AUACGGAGGGUCCAAGCGUUAUCCGGAAUCAUUGGGUUUAAAGGGUUCGCAGGCGGUUUAAUAAGUCAGUGGUGAAAUCUCGGGGCUCAACCUCGAAACUGCCAUUGAUACUGUUAGACUUGAAUACAGUUGGAGUAGGCGGAAUGUGUAGUGUAGCGGUGAAAUGCUUAGAUAUUACACAGAACACCGAUAGCGAAGGCAGCUUACUAAACUGUGAUUGACGCUCAUGAACGAAAGCGUGGGGAGCGAACAGGAUUAGAAACCCUAGUAGUCC
Molecule: ribosomal RNA, 274 nt
Filed under: uncultured bacterium
Lineage: Bacteria
Description: partial 16S ribosomal RNA
Rfam family: Bacterial small subunit ribosomal RNA
Source: RNAcentral